AUUGAACGCUGGCGGCAUGCCUUACACAUGCAAGUCGAACGGCAGCAUGAUCUAGCUUGCUAGAUUGAUGGCGAGUGGCGAACGGGUGAGUAAUACAUCGGAACGUGCCCUGUAGUGGGGGAUAACUAGUCGCAAGAUUAGCUAAUACCGCAUACGACCUGAGGGUGAAAGUGGGGGACCGCAAGGCCUCAUGCUAUAGGAGCGGCCGAUGUCUGAUUAGCUAGUUGGUGAGGUAAAGGCUCACCAAGGCGACGAUCAGUAGCUGGUCGGAGAGGACGAUCAGCCACAUGGGGACUGAGACACGGCCCAGACUCCUACGGGAGGCAGCAGUGGGGAAUUUUGGACAAUGGGCGAAAGCCUGAUCCAGCAAUGCCGCGUGUGUGAAGAAGGCCUUCGGGUUGUAAAGCACUUUUGUCCGGAAAGAAAUGGCUCUGGUUAAUACCUGGGGUCGAUGACGGUACCGGAAGAAUAAGGACCGGCUAACUACGUG
Molecule: ribosomal RNA, 490 nt
Filed under: uncultured bacterium
Lineage: Bacteria
Description: partial 16S ribosomal RNA
Rfam family: Bacterial small subunit ribosomal RNA
Source: RNAcentral